GUGAGGAAUAUUGGUCAAUGGGCGAGAGCCUGAACCAGCCAAGUAGCGUGAAGGAUGACGGCCCUACGGGUUGUAAACUUCUUUUGUGCGGGAAUAAAGGAGCCUACGUGUAGGCUUUUGCAUGUACCGUAACGAAUAAGCAUCGGCUAACUCCGUGCCAGCAGCCGCGGUAAUACGGAGGAUGCGAGCGUUAUCCGGAUUUAUUGGGUUUAAAGGGAGCGCAGACGGGUCGUUAAGUCAGCUGUGAAAGUUUGGGGCUCAACCUUAAAAUUGCAGUUGAUACUGGCGUCCUUGAGUGCGGUUGAGGUGUGCGGAAUUCGUGGUGUAGCGGUGAAAUGCUUAGAUAUCACGAAGAACCCCGAUUGCGAAGGCAGCCUGCUAAGCCGCCACUGACGUUGAGGCUCGAAAGUGCGGGUAUCAAACAGGAUUAGAAACCCGUGUAGUCC
Molecule: ribosomal RNA, 446 nt
Filed under: uncultured bacterium
Lineage: Bacteria
Description: bacterial SSU rRNA
Rfam family: Bacterial small subunit ribosomal RNA
Source: RNAcentral